CUAAAAUCAGGAACCUGGGAUGAGAUAAAUCCAGCUUUCUGUUUCACCUCGUCAGAACUCUUACAAAGAAAUGCGACGCGGCAUGGGGUUGUCAGGGAGCCCGCGGGUCAUGACGGGAUAUCCUAGGAUCUCUACCUCCUUUAGACGGAGAGCAAAGCGGAAGCCGUGCCAACUUAUUGAAGGCUCCUGAAGCCCCGGCUUAGAAGCCGCGGAUUAAGGGUAAAGGCUUAUGGACGACGCAUUUGGCAAAAGCCUCAAGUAGACCCGAACACAGAAUAAAAAUUACAAGAGGAAAA
Molecule: long non-coding RNA, 296 nt
Organism: Nematostella vectensis (starlet sea anemone)
Lineage: Eukaryota; Metazoa; Cnidaria; Anthozoa; Actiniaria; Edwardsiidae
Exons: 2
Source: RefSeq, a predicted model, not a curated record